GUCAAGUACAAAGAGCAUCGGGUGGAUGCCUUGGCACUGGGAGCCGAAGAAGGACGUGAUAAGCUGCGAUAAGCUGCGGUAAGGAGCACAUAUCCGAUAUACCCGCAGAUUUCCGAAUGGGGGAACCCACAUACGGUAAUGCGUAUGUAUCAUUAAGUGAAUACAUAGCUUAAUGAAGGGAACGGGGUGAACUGAAACAUCUAAGUAGCCCUAGGAAGAGAAAGAAAAAUCGAUUUCCUGAGUAGCGGCGAGCGAAAGGGAAAGAGGCCAAACCAAAUUGUUUACAGUUUGGGGUUGUGGACCACCGACAUUGACGAAGUUAUGCGAGCCGAAUAGGGUUGGAAAGCUCAAGCAGAGAAGGUAAUACUCCUGUAGGCGAAGCAGAAAGCGCAUAGGUGGCACCAGAGUAGGACCGGACACGUGUAACCCGGUCUGAAGCAGGAGGGACCACCCUCCAAGCCUAAAUACUACCCAGUGACCGAUAGCGAAUAGUACCGUGAGGGAAAGGUGAAAAGAACCCCGGGAGGGGAGUGAAAUAGAAUCUGAAACCUGAUGCUUACAAGCAUAGGGAGCGCAAGUGACCUAGUACUUUUUGUAGAACGGGCCAACGAGUUAUGGUAUGUAGCGAGGUUAAGUUGCUGGAGCAACGGAGCCGUAGAGAAAUCGAGUCUGAAUAGGGCGAGAGUUACAUGCUGUAGACCCGAAACCGGGUGACCUAUCCAUGAGCAGGUUGAAGUAACCGUAAAAGGUUAUGGAGGACCGAACCUAUAUCUGUUGAAAAAGGUUAGGAUGACUUGUGGAUAGCGGUGAAAUUCCAAUCGAACUCGGAUAUAGCUGGUUCUCCUCGAAAUAGCUUUAGGGCUAGCCUCAAGGUAAAGAUACACGGGGGUAGAGCACUGACUGUUCGCGGGGCCUUCACCGGUUACCAACAACUAUCAAACUCCGAAUACCGUGCUAUCAUACUUGGGAGUCAGACUAUGAGAGAUAAGUUCCAUGGUCGAAAGGGAAACAGCCCAGAUCAACAGCUAAGGUCCCAAAGAGUAAGUUAAGUGGAAAAGGAUGUGGGAUUGCACAAACAGCUAGGAUGUUGGCUUAGAAGCAGCCAUACAUUUAAAGAGUGCGUAAUAGCUCACUAGUCGAGUGAUCCUGCGCCGAAGAUAAACGGGGCUCAAACUUACCACCGAAGCUUUGGAAUUAGUAUAACUAAUUGGUAGAGGAGCAUUCUAUACAGGUAGAAGGAGGCGCGUAAGCAAAUCUGGACGGUAUAGAAGAGAGAAUGUUGGCAUGAGUAGCGUAAGGCGGGUGAGAAUCCCGUCCGCCGAAAAUCUAAGGUUUCCUGAGGAAGGUUCGUCCUCUCAGGGUAAGUCGGGACCUAAGCCGAGAGCGAACGCUGUAGGCGAUGGACAACAGGUUGAUAUUCCUGUACCACCAAGGAUUGUUUGAAUGAAGUGGGGACACAGAAGGAUAGAUUGAGCACGCCGUUGGUUGAGCGUGUCCAAGCAGCAAGGCUUGAAAGUAGGCAAAUCCGCUUUCUACAAGGCUGAGCUGUGAUGGGGUGGUCGAAUGACCGGUAGCAAUCGAUUUCACGCUGUCAAGAAAAGCCGCUAAUGAGAUCCAAGGUGCCCGUACCGCAAACCGACACAGGUAGAUGAGGAGAGAAUCCUAAGGUGAGCGAGCGAACUAUUGUUAAGGAACUCGGCAAAAUAACCCCGUAACUUCGGGAGAAGGGGUGCCUGCUUCGGCAGGCCGCAGUGAAGAGGUCCAGGCAACUGUUUACCAAAAACACAGGUCUCUGCUAAAGCGAAAGCUGAUGUAUAGGGGCUGACGCCUGCCCGGUGCUGGAAGGUUAAGGGGAAGUGUUAGGGCAACCGAAGCACAGAACUUAAGCCCCAGUAAACGGCGGCCGUAACUAUAACGGUCCUAAGGUAGCGAAAUUCCUUGUCGGGU
This 1947-nucleotide ribosomal RNA is filed under the name human metagenome. RNAcentral describes it as "bacterial LSU rRNA". It matches the Rfam family "Bacterial large subunit ribosomal RNA", at positions 1 to 1977 of the family's 2925-position model. The record is from RNAcentral.